Molecule: ribosomal RNA, 253 nt
Filed under: uncultured bacterium
Lineage: Bacteria
Description: partial 16S ribosomal RNA
Rfam family: Archaeal small subunit ribosomal RNA
Source: RNAcentral
UACCAGCACCCCGAGUGGUCGGGACGAUUAUUGGGCCUAAAGCAUCCGUAGCCGGUUCUGCAAGUCCCCCGUUAAAUCCAGCUGCUCAACAGAUGGGCCGCGGAGGAUACUACAGAGCUAGGAGGCAGGAGAGGCAAGCGGUACUCAGUGGGUAGGGGUGAAAUCCGUUGAUCCAUUGAAGACCACCAGUGGCGAAGGCGGCUUGCCAGAAUGCGCUCGACGGUGAGGGAUGAAAGCUGGGGGAGCAAACCGG